GAUGAACGCUGGCGGCGUGCCUAAUACAUGCAAGUCGAGCGAACAGAUGAGGAGCUUGCUCCUCUGACGUUAGCGGCGGACGGGUGAGUAACACGUGGAUAACCUACCUAUAAGACUGGGAUAACUUCGGGAAACCGGAGCUAAUACCGGAUAAUAUAUUGAACCGCAUGGUUCAAUAGUGAAAGACGGUUUUGCUGUCACUUAUAGAUGGAUCCGCGCCGCACUAGCUAGUUGGUAAGGUAACGGCUUACCAAGGCAACGAUGCGUAGCCGACCUGAGAGGGUGAUCGGCCACACUGGAACUGAGACACGGUCCAGACUCCUACGGGAGGCAGCAGUAGGGAAUCUUCCGCAAAGGGCGAAAGCCUGACGGAGCAACGCCGCGUGAGUGAUGAAGGUCUUCGGAUCGUAAAACUCUGUUAUUAGGGAAGAACAAAUGUGUAAGUAACUAUGCACGUCUUGACGGUACCUAAUCAGAAAGCCACGGCUAACUACGUG
Molecule: ribosomal RNA, 497 nt
Filed under: uncultured bacterium
Lineage: Bacteria
Description: partial 16S ribosomal RNA
Rfam family: Bacterial small subunit ribosomal RNA
Source: RNAcentral